Long non-coding RNA from Anopheles gambiae (African malaria mosquito), 714 nucleotides. RefSeq lists it as uncharacterized. NCBI's taxonomy places the organism in Eukaryota, Metazoa, Arthropoda, Insecta, Diptera, Culicidae. The transcript is spliced from 3 exons. The record is from RefSeq and is a predicted model, not a curated record.
AGUGUCAUCCAAGGCGGCGGGAGAAGGAUCCUGUCACCGACUGUACCGACCAAGGUGUAGUAAGCUACCAACCAAGUGGAUUAAAAUCUUUGAAUUCGUUAUCUUGAUGGAAUAUUGCGAAUUCAGUGGUUCAGCGCAUUUGUCCUCCCAUUCCAAGCCGCAUUCCAGAACAGCCUGUACAAAUGUUUGCACAUGCCAAACUGUCCACUUAAGGGAGUUGUUGCCAUCCCCUCCCAUUUGUGUACGCAUUAUGCGAACACACGGGAGCAAUUGAAAAUCAGGAAAACAGACAAUCAUACUUCCCCGAAAGCCCGCAACGCUCAUUGUCUAAAUAGUAGAGCGCGAGCAAAGAAGAAGCAAAGCUCUCUGCUGAGCUGCAGUUCUUAACUUCCACGUUUUUGUGGCCAGCAAAUAUACACGAAUCUAUGUACCUCCCUCCAAACACUCGUUCAAUCUCUGGCUGGGUGGGUUGAACGACUCGGCGGUGAGACACCCUGUUGAAGCCAGCUGGAAAGAUCGCAUCUCGUUUCCGUACCACACAAAAGGUACGUGAAGAAGACACUGGAAAUGGCCGUCCAUAACCCGCGGUGUGGCGGCUUUGUUUGCGAUGGCGUGUCAGCAAUUUUUCGGAACCCAAAGAACCCAACAAUCAAAGUCCAACGACCAAUCCAAUAAAUGCUGACCAGAAGACUUACAGAAUCUGUCGUGCGGUAU